GUUUCCAUGGUGUAAUGGUGAGCACUCUGGACUCUGAAUCCAGAAAUACAUUCAAAGAAUUAAGAACA
This is a transfer RNA of Gorilla gorilla gorilla (western lowland gorilla), 68 nucleotides long. It matches the Rfam family "tRNA". Rfam says of the family: Transfer RNA (tRNA) molecules are approximately 80 nucleotides in length. NCBI's taxonomy places the organism in Eukaryota, Metazoa, Chordata, Mammalia, Primates, Hominidae. The record is from Rfam.